AACAAACGUAGUUCCGAGUUUUCGUGUUCAAUUUUGAUCAUCUAUUUUAUUUAUUUUUUUAUAAUUAAUAUUUUUUUAUUGUUAUUAGAUUAUAAAGCACGAAUAGUACUUUAUGUGUGACUUAUAUUUUUUUAGUUUUUGAAAAAAAAUUAAAUAAAACGGACGAUUAAAAUUAGACACGAAAAUUCAUGGCUUGCUUAUU
Molecule: non-coding RNA, 202 nt
Organism: Oryza glumipatula
Lineage: Eukaryota; Viridiplantae; Streptophyta; Magnoliopsida; Poales; Poaceae
Source: Rfam